AACGAACGCUGGCGGCAUGCCUAACACAUGCAAGUCGAACGAGAUCUUCGGGUCUAGUGGCGCACGGGUGCGUAACGCGUGGGUAUCUGCCCUUUGGUUCGGAAUAACAGUUGGAAACGACUGCUAAUACCGGAUGAUGACGAAAGUCCAAAGAUUUAUCGCCAGAGGAUGAGCCCGCGUAGGAUUAGCUAGUUGGUGUGGUAAAGGCGCACCAAGGCGACGAUCCUUAGCUGGUCUGAGAGGAUGAUCAGCCACACUGGGACUGAGACACGGCCCAGACUCCUACGGGAGGCAGCAGUGGGGAAUAUUGGACAAUGGGCGAAAGCCUGAUCCAGCAAUGCCGCGUGAGUGAUGAAGGCCUUAGGGUUGUAAAGCUCUUUUACCCGGGAUGAUAAUGACAGUACCGGGAGAAUAAGCUCCGGCUAACCCCGUGCCAGCAGCCGCCGCAG
Molecule: ribosomal RNA, 449 nt
Filed under: uncultured bacterium
Lineage: Bacteria
Description: partial 16S ribosomal RNA
Rfam family: Bacterial small subunit ribosomal RNA
Source: RNAcentral